This 71-nucleotide small nucleolar RNA is filed under the name Camelus dromedarius (Arabian camel). RNAcentral describes it as "Small nucleolar RNA SNORD104 (ENSCDRG00005020941.1)". It matches the Rfam family "Small nucleolar RNA SNORD104". Rfam says of the family: The members of this family belong to the C/D class of snoRNAs which contain the C (UGAUGA) and D (CUGA) box motifs. The record is from Rfam by way of RNAcentral. Lineage: Eukaryota; Metazoa; Chordata; Mammalia; Artiodactyla; Camelidae.
GCGGUGAUGACACUAAUUAAACGCACGUGUUAGCUGCUGACGAGGGGUGAUGCGAACUAGUAGAGUCUGGC